GAUGAACGCUGGCGGCGUGCUUAACACAUGCAAGUCGAACGAAGCACUUUAUUUGAUUUCCUUCGGGACUGAUUAUUUUGUGACUGAGUGGCGGACGGGUGAGUAACGCGUGGGUAACCUGCCUUGUACAGGGGGAUAACAGUUGGAAACGGCUGCUAAUACCGCAUAAGCGCACGGCAUCGCAUGAUGCAGUGUGAAAAACUCCGGUGGUAUAAGAUGGACCCGCGUUGGUUUAGCUAGUUGGUGAGGUAACGGCCCACCAAGGCGACGAUCCAUAGCCGAGCUGAGAGGGUGACCGGCCACAUUGGGACUGAGACACGGCCCAAACUCCUACGGGAGGCAGCAGUGGGGAAUAUUGCACAAUGGGCGAAAGCCUGAUGCAGCGACGCCGCGUGAGCGAAGAAGUAUUUCGGGAUGUAAAGCGCUAUCAGCAGGGAAGAUAAUGACGGUACCUGACUAAGAAGCACCGGCUAAAUACGUG
RNAcentral lists this ribosomal RNA (481 nucleotides) under uncultured bacterium. RNAcentral's name for it is "partial 16S ribosomal RNA". It matches the Rfam family "Bacterial small subunit ribosomal RNA", at positions 28 to 507 of the family's 1533-position model. The record is from RNAcentral.